This 444-nucleotide ribosomal RNA is filed under the name uncultured bacterium. RNAcentral's name for it is "SSU rRNA". It matches the Rfam family "Bacterial small subunit ribosomal RNA", at positions 26 to 518 of the family's 1533-position model. The record is from RNAcentral.
AGAGCGAACGCUGGCGGCAGGCUUAACACAUGCAAGUCGAGCGGGCGUAGCAAUACGUCAGCGGCAGACGGGUGAGUAACGCGUGGGAACAUACCUUUUGGUUCGGAACAACACAGGGAAACUUGUGCUAAUACCGAAUAAGCCCUUACGGGGAAAGAUUUAUCGCCGAAAGAUUGGCCCGCGUCUGAUUAGCUAGUUGGUGAGGUAACGGCUCACCAAGGCGACGAUCAGUAGCUGGUCUGAGAGGAUGAUCAGCCACAUUGGGACUGAGACACGGCCCAAACUCCUACGGGAGGCAGCAGUGGGAAUAUUGGACAAUGGGCGCAAGCCUGAUCCAGCCAUGCCGCGUGAGUGAUGAAGGCCCUAGGUUGUAAAGCUCUUUGUGCGGAAGAUAAUGACGGUACCGCAAGAAUAAGCCCCGGCUAACUUCGUGCCAGCAGCCGC